GGUCGCAUAGCUCAGCUGGUUAGAGCGCGCGCCUCACAUGCGCGAGGUCGUAGGUUCAAGUCCUACUGCGACCACCA
This 77-nucleotide transfer RNA is filed under the name Deltaproteobacteria bacterium. Its description in RNAcentral is "tRNA-Val". It matches the Rfam family "tRNA". From Rfam's summary of the family: Transfer RNA (tRNA) molecules are approximately 80 nucleotides in length. Their secondary structure includes four short double-helical elements and three loops (D, anti-codon, and T loops). The record is from RNAcentral. Lineage: Bacteria; Pseudomonadati; Myxococcota; Myxococcia. RNAcentral also lists the same sequence under 3 other names.